RNAcentral lists this ribosomal RNA (600 nucleotides) under Pseudomonas putida. RNAcentral's name for it is "bacterial SSU rRNA". It matches the Rfam family "Bacterial small subunit ribosomal RNA", at positions 29 to 627 of the family's 1533-position model. Lineage: Bacteria; Pseudomonadati; Pseudomonadota; Gammaproteobacteria; Pseudomonadales; Pseudomonadaceae. The record is from RNAcentral.
GGGAAGGGGCUGGCAGGCUACACAUGCAAGUCGAGCGGAUGAGAAGAGCUUGCUCUUCGAUUCAGCGGCGGACGGGUGAGUAAUGCCUAGGAAUCUGCCUGGUAGUGGGGGACAACGUUUCGAAAGGAACGCUAAUACCGCAUACGUCCUACGGGAGAAAGCAGGGGACCUUCGGGCCUUGCGCUAUCAGAUGAGCCUAGGUCGGAUUAGCUAGUUGGUGGGGUAAUGGCUCACCAAGGCGACGAUCCGUAACUGGUCUGAGAGGAUGAUCAGUCACACUGGAACUGAGACACGGUCCAGACUCCUACGGGAGGCAGCAGUGGGGAAUAUUGGACAAUGGGCGAAAGCCUGAUCCAGCCAUGCCGCGUGUGUGAAGAAGGUCUUCGGAUUGUAAAGCACUUUAAGUUGGGAGGAAGGGCAGUAAGCGAAUACCUUGCUGUUUUGACGUUACCGACAGAAUAAGCACCGGCUAACUCUGUGCCAGCAGCCGCGGUAAUACAGAGGGUGCAAGCGUUAAUCGGAAUUACUGGGCGUAAAGCGCGCGUAGGUGGUUUGUUAAGUUGAAUGUGAAAGCCCCGGGCUCAACCUGGGAACUGCAUC